GACGAACGCUGGCGGCGUGCUUAACACAUGCAAGUCGAACGGAAAGGCCCUGCUUUUGUGGGGUGCUCGAGUGGCGAACGGGUGAGUAACACGUGAGUAACCUGCCCUUGACUUUGGGAUAACUUCAGGAAACUGGGGCUAAUACCGGAUAGGAGCUCCUGCUGCAUGGUGGGGGUUGGAAAGUUUCGGCGGUUGGGGAUGGACUCGCGGCUUAUCCGCUUGUUGGUGGGGUAGUGGCUUACCAAGCGUUUGACGGGUAGCCGGCCUGAGAGGGUGACCGGGGACCUUGGGACUGAGAGAGGGAGCAGUAGCCUACGGGCGGCAGAAGUGGGAAAUAUGGCGGAAUGAGCGGGAGUGUGAGGCGGAAGUGUCGCGUGCGGGAUGACGGGCUUCGGGGGGUAAACAGCUGUGGCCUGUGACGAAGCGUGAGUGACGGUAAUGGGUAAAGAAGCACCGGCUAACUACGUG
Molecule: ribosomal RNA, 468 nt
Filed under: uncultured bacterium
Lineage: Bacteria
Description: partial 16S ribosomal RNA
Rfam family: Bacterial small subunit ribosomal RNA
Source: RNAcentral